Molecule: long non-coding RNA, 1477 nt
Filed under: Takifugu rubripes (torafugu)
Lineage: Eukaryota; Metazoa; Chordata; Actinopteri; Tetraodontiformes; Tetraodontidae
Description: lncRNA (ENSTRUG00000029543.1)
Source: RNAcentral
GGAGUAUAUUCAGAUUUUAUUCACAAAUAUCACAAAUAUUCAUGAAGUUCAGGAAAAAAAAUGGAUCAUUAAAAAGGAAAUACAGUGAUCCCUCGCUAUAUCGCGUUUCAUCUUUCACGGCUUCGCUGCUUCACGGAUUUUUUUUUUUUUUUUUUGCGAGUCGUUCGUUGCAGUUCUCAAAUAUAAUCGAAGGUGGCAUAUCCGUUUAUAAAAAUCUUCUUGCUCAGAAAAAGAAAGAGCGCCAACAACUACCCAUAACAAUGUUCUUCUCUGGGAGAAAGACUCCUGCGCCUCCAGUAGAAACAGACGCUCCAGCGGAGCGGAGUCAGGACGAAGAGGCACAGCUGGGACUGGGAAAUACGCGAGUGACAAUGUUUCCAACCUUGUAUUACUAUAUUAAAAUUAUUGUUUUAAACAAAUUUUGGGCUUUAAAACAGGUUUUGAUUUUUGGUUUCAUUCUAUAGUUCAGUAUUGCAUUGUAAAAUACAAAUAAAAAUAAAGCUGACUACUUCACGGAUUUCACUUUUCGCGUGUUAGUUUUGGAACACAACUCCCGCGAUAAACGAGGGAUCACUGUAUUCCAAAAAGAAAAACUGAUUAGGCCAUUGCCACCCAUCGGCUGCCAAACAAUCGGAAUAGGCAGAGUCCCUGUGGGGUCAUCCUAAUUUCUUCGUCAUCGUACUCAUCAUCCAUGCUGUAAUCACGCAGUUGACGCUGGCCGUUGCGACGACGACGAUGGGCGGAUUUGCUGGCCUUUGGAGGCUUGGGAUCAACUAGAACACAUUUUAUAAAAGUCUGUUAGUGUUCAGAAUUUUCUACCUUCCUGUGACUUGCAUUCAUUUCACAACAAAGCCAGAUACUUACAUUUCAGAGUCCAGACUGGCUGGUCUUCGUCAGAUUGCCACAAUUCUUCAGUGUGUUCGCCUGUUCAGAAACACCAUCAUCACCAUCGUCAUGAUGAUCAUCAUCUUCUCUAUUGCUUUCACAUGUGAAUUAUGGGUUCAUUUAUUCUCACCGGAGUCUGGUGGCUGGCCGCCGUUGGCCAUACUGCUCGGACAGUUCUGGUGUUGCAAGCUGCUAUUGAAUGUGGCGUGGGCCCUUUGAUCGCUGGGACCAGAACAUUUUGUUGGGUGAGCGUCAUCGGUUUCAGUCUGACAGCCCUUAUCCUCGGUCUCUGGUUGUGCAUGGCACUGCUCCUUCUAAAUGGCCAGGCAGAGGAAGACAUGGAUCACAUGUGGUUGACAGCUGUGAAAGCCAGCACUUUAACAUCUGCUUGUGCACUUCUUCGUGAGACCUAUGUGGAGCGUACGCUCUGAGCGCUCACCUGCAGUCUGACUGUUGGUUCUUCUGACCAGAAGAUCUGCACGAGCAUUUCUAUGGUGCAGAAAGUGUUCGUGUUCUUAUUUCUGAUGGACCCUGAUUUGACAAAUUCCUGGAAUCCAUCCUUGUAUUCAAUCAGGUACCACUGGGAAAAGUG